Molecule: ribosomal RNA, 460 nt
Filed under: uncultured marine microorganism
Description: bacterial SSU rRNA
Rfam family: Bacterial small subunit ribosomal RNA
Source: RNAcentral
UGGGGAAUUUUCCGCAAUGGGCGAAAGCCUGACGGAGCAAUACCGCGUGAGGGAGGAAUGCCUUUGGGUUGUAAACCUCUUUUCUCAGGGAAGAAGAUCUGACGAUACCUGAGGAAUAAGUAUCGGCUAACUCCGUGCCAGCAGCCGCGGUAAUACGGAGGAUGCAAGAGUUAUCCGGAAUCAUUGGGCGUAAAGCGUCCGCAGGUGGUUUCCAAAGUCUGCUGUUAAAGACUGGAGCUCAACUCCGGAACGGCGGUGGAAACUUGGAAACUAGAGUUCGGUAGGGGUAGCAGGAAUUCCCAGUGUAGCGGUGAAAUGCGUAGAUAUUGGGAAGAACAUCGGUGGCGAAGGCGUGCUACUGGACCGUAAAUGACACUCAGGGACGAAAGCUAGGGGAGCGAAAGGGAUUAGAUACCCCUGUAGUCCUAGCUGUAAACGAUGGAAACUAGGUGUGGCUUGA